UAACCUAGGCUACAAUCUUUGUAAGAUAAGCAUGGAAUGUACUUCUGGUUUUUAUUGCUGUACUGCUCCUUCAGGUUCCCCCACCACCA
Notechis scutatus (mainland tiger snake) is the source of this 89-nucleotide non-coding RNA. NCBI's taxonomy places the organism in Eukaryota, Metazoa, Chordata, Lepidosauria, Squamata, Elapidae. The record is from RefSeq and is a predicted model, not a curated record.